This 72-nucleotide transfer RNA is filed under the name Blattella germanica (German cockroach). RNAcentral describes it as "tRNA-Gly (TCC) (tRNA-Gly-TCC-15-1)". It matches the Rfam family "tRNA". From Rfam's summary of the family: Transfer RNA (tRNA) molecules are approximately 80 nucleotides in length. The record is from RNAcentral. Lineage: Eukaryota; Metazoa; Arthropoda; Insecta; Blattodea; Blattellidae.
GCGAUGGUGGUGUAAUGGUUAGCAUGGUUGCCUUCCAAGCAGUCGAUCUCGGUUCGACUCCCGGCCAUCGCA